GGUAGGCAGGCAGGUGAUGGGAGGAUGGGAUGGGGGUGUCAACAUUGUGGCAAGUGAACAAGUGCUCCAUGAUGUUGCUUAGUUGAUUCCAUCCAUCCAUCGCCCAGAUACCAGAAUAAAAUCAAUCCACAAAUAUCGUAUCCAUUUAUUUGGAGCUCUGUCUAUGGAAAUCUGUCUGCUUCGUUAGUUACAUGAUUAAUUGCUAAACUGUUAGGCGUACCAGCCAAUCAGGGAGCGGAAUUGGACUGGCUGGAGAGAAGACCGGUGUUGAUCAAAAAAAGUUUGGACUUGGCUUCCGCAUUUGCCUUGUGAUUUUGUUUCAGGUUAGACUUGCAAGAGAGUAUAUGCUCUGAAUUUGGGGGGGAAAAUCAAGGACAACCAUGUACAGAAGAAAGCAGAUACUUGUAGCAGAAUUCAUCACCGAGCUGUCAACAGAAUCAGCAAGGACAUCUUUUUUCGAAUAAAUCAGCAGGGAUGUCAGCAGAAAGGACUCUGAGGAAGGAAGGGGAGCGCAGGAGGCAAUCUGAUUGCCCAAUUCGCCCUCCUCGAUCACCAGGCAAGAACUUGGAGGAGCACACAAGAAACACAUGCAAGAAGCUCUGCGGAAUUCAGAGGUAAACAGGCCAAGAGGAUAGGACACGAACCUUCAGAAACUCAGAAGGCAGUAGCCUCGGUAUCCUUCAGCCGUUGAACAGGCAGCAGCUUCAGCCCUCGGUGGUUCCUCCCUAAUCCCGAGAAGAGAGCGUGGAGGAUGACGACGACGACGACGAUGGCAACGAAGAAGACGAAGAUGGAGGCGAGGACUAAACUAUCUGGCUCUGGCCCUGCUGAUAGGAGAGAGGACAAGUGGCCACCACGGUGAUGAGGAAAAACUGAAGAGGAGGGGGAGCUGCAAAACGUG
Panicum virgatum (switchgrass) is the source of this 901-nucleotide long non-coding RNA. RefSeq lists it as uncharacterized. The transcript has 2 exons. The record is from RefSeq and is a predicted model, not a curated record. Lineage: Eukaryota; Viridiplantae; Streptophyta; Magnoliopsida; Poales; Poaceae.